Sycon ciliatum is the source of this 757-nucleotide long non-coding RNA. RefSeq lists it as uncharacterized. The transcript has 5 exons. The record is from RefSeq and is a predicted model, not a curated record. Lineage: Eukaryota; Metazoa; Porifera; Calcarea; Leucosolenida; Sycettidae.
UUCCUUGUGAUUACUUGGGUCGAGUUGGGAGUUCCUGUAGCUCUCUCUUCUGCUGUCUCUUUCGCAUGGAUCUCCCAAGAAUCAUCUCUCCGUUUGGGAAACCCCACUCAUAGUACGUGGUAAUCAACUAUGGCGACUUCAAGGUUCAUCUUCCCCGUUUCGGAAGAUCAAUAUCAUUACUUGGGACGGGCACGUGCGUCUCUCGAAAAUUACUUCUGUCCAAGCUGAAUCAAAAGAUGACGAUGAACACGGCAUGGCUACGCCAGAAUAGACCUGAGUUCAGCCCUUCGAGUUAUGGAGAUUGAAGGCAAAGGAGUAUGAAGGUUGGCAAGGAGCAUCUUGUGCCUGGCAGUUGGUGUCCUGAACCCCUGCAGAUUGUACAGCGCUGCAACAUGAACUUGGCACGACACAUGGGUUGAAAUCACUGCCAUCACACAGUGACAUUGCGUCCGCAGACAUGCUACCUUUUGUCAUCAGUCGCUGCGAGUUUCUGGUCUUAUGCUGGGUGGCUGAAUUGACAACUUGGUGGUCAUCUUCUUUUCGGAAUGUGCUUCCAAGAGCUACAGUGGAAAUCAUGUCAGCCUUACACGCAUCAUGAACAUCAGACCCUUACUUAUUAACGCAUGAUAGCACUUUAAAAUUUCUCUUCCCUUAGCAGUUCAGGAAAUUGUUUUUCUUGCAUUAACUAUUAUUUCUUCUUGGCUGUUUGUUUCCUGUUCUCUAUAACCGUUUCUUCAUCGGUUAGGAAUAUUUGGAA